This 329-nucleotide unclassified non-coding RNA is filed under the name soil metagenome. Its description in RNAcentral is "partial contains 5.8S ribosomal RNA, internal transcribed spacer 2, and large subunit ribosomal RNA". The stretch from base 1 to 120 matches the Rfam family "5.8S ribosomal RNA", at positions 35 to 154 of the family's 154-position model. The record is from RNAcentral.
GAUGAAGAACGUAGCGAAAUGCGAUAAGUAAUGUGAAUUGCAGAAUUCAGUGAAUCAUCGAAUCUUUGAACGCACAUUGCGCCCUCUGGUAUUCCGGGGGGCAUGCCUGUUCGAGCGUCAUUAUAACCACUCAAGCUCUCGCUUGGUAUUGGGGCUCGCGGUUCCGCGGCCCCUAAAAUCAGUGGCGGUGCCUGUCGGCUCUACGCGUAGUAAUACUCCUCGCGAUUGAGUCCGGUAGGUCUACUUGCCAGCAACCCCCAAUUUUUACAGGUUGACCUCGGAUCAGGUAGGGAUACCCGCUGAACUUAAGCAGAUCAAUAAGCGGAGGA